This 123-nucleotide small RNA is filed under the name Marmota monax (woodchuck). Lineage: Eukaryota; Metazoa; Chordata; Mammalia; Rodentia; Sciuridae. The record is from RNAcentral.
ACUGUGCGCGGUGGCACACGCCUGUAAUCCCAGCCUCUCGGGAGGCUGAGACAGGAGGAUCACGAGUUCAAAGCAAACCUCAGCAAAGGCGAGGCUGAGCAACUCAGUGAGACCCUGUCUCUA